GACGAACGCUGGCGGCGUGCUUAACACAUGCAAGUCGAGCGGUAAGGCCCCUUCGGGGGCACACGAGCGGCGAACGGGUGAGUAACACGUGAGCAACCUGCCCCUGACUCCGGGAUAAGCGGUGGAAACGCCGUCUAAUACCGGAUACGACCCUCCGGCUCAUGCCGUGGGGGUGGAAAGUUUUUUCGGUUGGGGAUGGGCUCGCGGCCUAUCAGCUUGUUGGUGGGGUAAAGGCCUACCAAGGCGAUUACGGGUAGCCGGCCUGAGAGGGCGACCGGCCACACUGGGACUGAGACACGGCCCAGACUCCUGCGGGAGGCAGCAGUGGGGAAUCUUGCGCAAUGGGCGAAAGCCUGACGCAGCGACGCCGCGUGGGGGAUGACGGCCUUCGGGUUGUAAACUCCUUUUACCACUCACGCAGGCCCGGAGUGUUCUUCGGGUUGACGGUAGGUGGGGAAUAAGGACCGGCUAACUACGUGCCAGCCGCCGCCGUAA
RNAcentral lists this ribosomal RNA (495 nucleotides) under uncultured bacterium. RNAcentral's name for it is "partial 16S ribosomal RNA". It matches the Rfam family "Bacterial small subunit ribosomal RNA", at positions 28 to 523 of the family's 1533-position model. The record is from RNAcentral.